GGCACUAUAGCCAAGUGGUUACGGCGACAGAUUCGAAACUUGGUAUCUGUUCCUCUUUGAGGGCGCAGGUUCAAAUCCUGCUGGUGUCG
Molecule: transfer RNA, 89 nt
Filed under: Laccaria amethystina LaAM-08-1
Lineage: Eukaryota; Fungi; Basidiomycota; Agaricomycetes; Agaricales; Hydnangiaceae
Rfam family: tRNA
About the family: Transfer RNA (tRNA) molecules are approximately 80 nucleotides in length.
Source: Rfam by way of RNAcentral